Molecule: long non-coding RNA, 1810 nt
Filed under: Hordeum vulgare
Lineage: Eukaryota; Viridiplantae; Streptophyta; Magnoliopsida; Poales; Poaceae
Description: long non-coding RNA (HVUL_LNC017721)
Source: RNAcentral
GAUGCUGUUCGGCAACUACAACACGGACCAGGCGAGCACGUACGCGCCGCAGAUCGUGGACACCAUCUCCGCCGGCGUGGAGAAGCUGGUGGCGAUGGGGGCGACGGACGUGGUGGUGCCGGGCGUGCUCCCCAUCGGCUGCUUCCCCAUCUACCUCACCAUCUACGGCACCUCCAGCGCCGCCGACUACGACUCCCUCGGCUGCCUCAAGAAGUUCAACGACCUCUCCACGUACCACAACAGCCUGCUCCAGGCCAAGGUGUCCACCCUCCAGGCCAAGUACAAGUCGGCCCGCAUCAUGUACGCCGACUUCUACGCCGGCGUCUACGACAUGGUCCGGAGCCCCAGCAAAUACGGUACGUCUACAUGCCUACACACUAGUCAUAAUACGUACUGGAGGACAUGAUUUCAUGCACACGCCGGCGGCUAGUCUCGCCGUGGCGGCACUGUGGGUGGGUGGAUUUCAGUUUUCAAACUCGCCGUGGACCACGUCCUCCGUUGUCGGCGCAGAGCGUUUCUCGUUGUUGGACGCGCCCGUCACGCUCUGUCCUGGCAGUGCGGCAGCACCAGCACGGGACAUGCAUGCAUGGUGGCGGGAUUAAAUGAAGGAUUAUUCGGCGUUUAAGGCUCAUGCAGUGCCGCACUGCUGCACCACACCACUUGCUCUGCACUGCUGGCCGGUAGCGUGGUCACCACCACAUGCCCGUCCGUGCGUCCGUGCGUGCGACGGCCGUAGGGACGGAUUCCUGCCGUUAGCCCGGGCUGCGCGCUCCGGCGCCGGCCGUGGGAGCGUGAUCGUGUCCAGUGCCCAGUCCUGCCUGCACGCGGUCGAUCGCCGGCCGGUGAAUAGAAAACUAGGUCGCGGGCCGACACGGGCGCGCUCGUGAUCCCGAGCGAGUAACGACAUCCCAUCACGGGGAAAAUAAUGGCGGAUGCGCGGGGUUUGGUAGGCGCUGUUCCUUUAAAAUCGGCGCUACUUGCAGAAGCAAACAGCCGUUGCUCUGUUUCCCCAACCCAACACAUGCAUGCAGCCCCGGUGGCGGUGGGUGGUGAACGCCCGCCGGGACACACGCCACUGCUCCCGCACGUUGCCGAUCGGUCUCAAAACCCUCGGAAUCUUCGUACGAGGGAUCCAUCCAUGAUGGAUGCUGGAUAUUGCAGAGCAAGAAACCAAAACGAUGAACCAACGAACACUGUGGUGUGGUGUGGUAUGAUAUGAUUCCGAUUCAAGAUCUGACUCGCGUGGAUGUGGAAUGCAGGUUUCAGCUCGGUGUUCGAGGCGUGCUGCGGGUCGGGGGGAGGCAAGUACAACUACGCCAACAGCGCGAGGUGCGGCAUGUCCGGCGCCUCCGCAUGCGCCAGCCCGGCGUCGCACCUCAGCUGGGACGGCAUCCACCUCACCGAGGCCGCAUACAAGCAGAUCACCGACGGAUGGCUCAACGGCGCCUUCUGCCACCCCGCCAUCACCCACUAGCCACCCCACCUCAGUCCGUGCAUGCAUGCAUGGGCGCAUCAAAAACCUCAUCGUCGUCGUCGUCCAUGAAUCCAUAAUCAAUCAAUCAAUCAACCGAUCGAUUAUCAUUAUAUUAUUAUUAUAAUUAUUAUUAUUUGUUCAGUCGGGUUAACUAUCAUAACGUGUCUGGGGACCGGCCAAGGCUAAGGUUCCCGGUCUGAUCCGGUGGCAAAAGAAUCGGGGCGCGUCUGUGGUGACGAGUGAAGAAGGAAGAAGAAGAAGAUGACGGCAAGCGUCGUGGAAUAGUAGUGCGGCCCGUGCUGCUGUUGUUGUUGUGAACCUGUAACCUGAUAGUAG